Long non-coding RNA from Centrocercus urophasianus (Greater sage-grouse), 4251 nucleotides. RefSeq lists it as uncharacterized. The record is from RefSeq and is a predicted model, not a curated record. Lineage: Eukaryota; Metazoa; Chordata; Aves; Galliformes; Phasianidae. The transcript is spliced from 4 exons.
UGGCUGCACCUCUCCUAGACCUAGUUAAGAGCUGGCUACCAGUGGGGAAGGAUCUCGUCUGGAGGUCCCUUCUUCUGGUGCUUUCUGUAGGUGAGCCUAGCAUACAGGAAACUUCAGCCUUCAAGAAUAUACAUAAUUCUAUAUCCACAGUGAAGCUGUAGUCUGCAGACAAAAAAACCAAAACAACAAAAAAAACUCAAGAAAGGAGUGUCUGCUGGCUGUGAUGAAACAGCGCUGCUCUUUGAGGCAAAGAGUGCUGCACCUGCAUGAAGACAUCGUUUAGGAGGGUCCAGUGCCAAAUUCACUUUGCAUCCAACAUGAGAUGCCACCGAUGGUCCUUUUAAGCCAUGAAAGGCACCAGUGCGAGGAAACAACAAACAUAUCCCAUGGGCCAGCUGAGAAGCAAUGGACCUGGAGCUCACCAACUACAGGGUUGUUCUCGAGGAUGUAAGACUUGCCUGACCAAAGGGAAGUUCUCUGGAGUAGAUCCUAAAGAGGUCCUGAACCUUGUAGGCACGUAUGACAGUAUACUCCAGCUACAAUUCUGAGAACCAUCUUACUUUCUUUUUGUCUGCUUUAAAAAGCUUUUUGUUAGAUACUUCAUGUCUAAAUAAAGGUUUUGAUGCAAUAGGGUUUACAUUUGAGAGAAUAGAACAGUUGGAAAUUUCCAAGAGAUGCUACUGUCUUACAGGGACUUGUUUUAUUUUACAUAUCUGAACACAGAAGAGACCUUUGAAGUGUAAGUUGAGGAUGACACUAAUGUCGAGUAGGACUAUGAGCCUAGAAGAGGAAAAGUGCUAUAUCUGCAAUGGAUAGAGCAGCAUGUAGGAGAGGCAAAUUAAUAAAAUGAUAUAGCAUACACCUUAUAAAUUGACUUUAAUUAACAAGUACUGUUAAAAGGGUGGUGGAUACAGCUGCUCAACUGCAGUAUUUUAAUUACUUUGUUCAGCACCACAAACAACUCUUAAACGAGACAGACAACCCAAAGCAUACAAUACAGGUGUCUGGAUAUGGAACUGUAGUUGUUUCAUCCUUCCAAAACACAAUAGGCAUCCAGGGCAAUCUAUCCUUUAAGACGUGAUUAGUGCGAGGAAGUUUCCAGGCUCCUGGACACUCAACAUGCAGCAGGAAAAGAAAAAAAGUGUCAGCCUAUGGAUUUGAGGCAUUAUUUUAUUCUCUAAGUACAAUACUUUCCUCAAGAAAAUAAUUAGUUACAUGAGUUGUACAACUGCCCCUGUAACUUACGGUUUUCAAAACCCCUUAGAUUUUAAGAAAGGACAGUAACACAGAUGUUAUCUACAAUGGCACUGGAUGACUUCUGAAAAGUUCUUUCUUAAUUGCAUUUAAUUCCAUUAUUUGUUUUCCAUGCUAUUGCAUGAUGCUGCAAGAGCACAGAAAAAGAAAGAAGCUAAAAUCUUCAAACACCGAGGUGGAAAAGCUGGUGGAACAUUGUAUAAAAACUGGGCAAAGGGAAGAAAUUUUGAAGCAUCUUAGCUUUUCCAUUAGCUUUAUCAUAAAUAUGAAACAAGAAAAAAGAGUAAGAAGAACAAACUAACAUGGUGACAUCUAAUGACAAAUGCAGCUGUUCUCUGCUGUAAGAAUCUCUGGUGGAGAGUAACUGAAUUGAUGCUAGUAUGACAAACUAUGAAAUUAACACUUCUGAGAUAAGGUCUCUUCUGUGUGGUUGUGUUCUGCUGGUUAUUUAGUGGUAUCUCCAGCUGGCAGUAAAUGGAGCUGAAGAGAUCUUGGCUGUUCAGGACACACUCCUGCUUGAGAUUUUUGGACAUCCAUUUUAUUUCUGAAGUCUGCCUCAUGACAAGUGAUCAACAAGCCCUCUGACAUAAAGGGAGUGGCUCCCAUGGCCUCUUGAGCAUAGCUCAGCUCCUCAUUACAGUGCCAGAGGUUUUGCUUAGGCAAUUUUUUUACUUUUGUAAUUUAGAUCAGCUUCAGCACAAAACUGAUGUACUUCAGGAGAAACCAAUCUCUACUUGCACAGCAAAAUCUUUGCCUUCCAGUGAUUGUUAGGAUGUAAAGAUUAGACUUGCUUUUGUUUCUGAGAACAGCAGAAAUUCAAGAUGUCGCAGAGAUGGCUUUGGAUACUUACUAACAUGUUAAGCAAACCAAACAAAACCCCAACAAACAGGGAUGUCAGGAGAACAGUUAAGCAACAAGCCAGACAGAUACAGAUACAGCAAGAGCACUGCAGAUAUCUGCUUCUGGGAAGAGAAAUGAUGCCAGAGAUGAUGUCAGAUGAAGCUUCCAAAUAGGAUCAUUUCACUAAGAACAGUUAUCCUUUCAUAAUGAGCAAGUUUUGAGCUGCCAGCAAAAAUGUGAGAAUGGCAGUAGCAUAAAGACAGCAAAACCUCCAGUCUAAGAUCUUUUCUAAGGAGGUCAGAGAAAUCCAAGGGAAUUGAUGGUACAGUACACACAGACUGCACUGGUUUAUUUUCUCAUUCUACAAGAAACACUCUGGACACAAUAUGUAAAUACGGAUGGAUUUAAAGCACUUGUUCUGACAGUGGUUAAAAACAGAACAUUAAUUAUACCACAGGAGAGUUCCCAAUGAAAAUCUAUGAGCUUUUUCCAUUCCCAAGAUACUGUUCUACAAAAUCAAUUUAUACUCCUAUCAAUUUUAGAGCAAAAAAAAGAAAAAAAAAAAAAAAAAAAGAAAGAUCAAGCAAACUCGGAGGACUGUGUUUUGUGUACACAGAAGAAUUUGCAAAGGACACAAACAGAGUUUUCAGAAAUCCUUUCCAGUUCACAUUUCCAUCUCCAUCACGCCUAACCUCCCUAUUUUCCCUUAGCAAAUGCUGUGCUCUAAUUUUUAAAUGUAUUGCAUUCCUACAGGUCAACACUAAUGUGAGUGCAAACUUUUAAACUCUUACUUCAUCAAACUACUAUAGCUCAUGCUCAGACUUAGUACUGUUUUUGGUAACCUAGUGAGGUCAAGAAAGUAGAAUAAACAGACAGAGUGUCCCUAUAAACAUGGCAGUCUCUGCUACUACAGUCUUCUGAGAACUGGCAAGCACAAGCAAAAGUUGCUUUGGGUAGCACAGAAGCUCUUGCAGAGCUUUAUGAACUCUGAACAUUGGGUUCAGUCAUUAAGUAAAGCAGGAGAACACAAUGCAGUGAGCAUGAUGAAUUGUAGAUCUGGAAUGCCAAACAGAAGUCUUAACAGCUGGUCUGCAUCCAGUCAAUGUGACAGCAGUAUCCCCAUUCUCCUGUAUAUGGAGAAGCAUUAGACCUCAAAUUUGCACACAAUUGAGCAUAUCCAAAGUGUGAAUGUUUUAUCUAUUUUCUAAAAGACUAUUCAGCUGUCUGUAGUGCUUUCUGCUCCAGCCUGUUUAAUAUCUAGCAUUAUUCUACGUUUUAACCAUGAACUCCAUCCAGCUUUGCAGUGCUGAACAUCUACGCGGGGCUCCUUCAUACUAAAGUUUCACUCUGCCCUCUACUGAUUUUUUACAGAAGUACAGAAGUUUGCACCAAUACAAAAGGUUUCUACCGUCCUUUUUAUUUCAGGAUAACACAGAAACUUUCCCAAGCAACCCCAAACAGCCUCUUUCAUCCUUGAAUCUUUCGAUGUUUCAUUAGUUCAUCUCUCUCAAAACACUGGUAUUUUUCUUUCAGGAGAGUUGAACCAACAUGAGAGCACGUGGGGUGGGUGUGGGUAGGUCUGCCCAGCAAGAGAAAGUCUUCAAGUCAAGCAAAAGCUUUGUAAAAGACAGUGCAUAUGAGUAAACUUCAUCUAGAACAGUUUCUUGCAUGUCUUUGAAAUCUCUAAGAAAAAAAGACAAAACUGAAUGGCAGCUUGUUCAAGACCUCCUGCUAUUUCUAAUUUGGAUUCCAGUAGUCAAGCUCAUUUUCACAUUCAUAAUCUUCCCAAUUACUCAAGACUUGAUUGACAUAAAAUUUAGAUAAUUUUUAAAUUAAACAGCUCUUGGAGAUGGAAACACAUAUUUGGUCUUAUUUUGAAAGGUGUAAUAAAGCAACUGGAAACACACUGCAGAUACUGUCACCUCCACUAGAACAACUACUUCUAAAUCAAAUCAAGCUUAGCCUUUUUGAAGAGGCAAUAUCAAAAACGUGUAGGUACUCACACUUUCCUUUAACUAACUGUAAAAGGCAUUUAUUAAGAAUAUGCUUAAACUUAGAUCUUAGCAUCAACUCUGUACAACCUUUUCCCUCAUCUUGCACUGAGACUACCAAAACGGCUUCCUUUCUGGCUGCAAUAAAUGCCAUUUUACCACCUCA